UACGUAGGGGGCAAGCGUUAUCCGGAUUUACUGGGUGUAAAGGGAGCGUAGACGGCGAUGCAAGUCUGAAGUGAAAGGCGGGGGCCCAACCCCUGGACUGCUUUGGAAACUGUAUAGCUAGAGUGCAGGAGAGGUAAGUGGAAUUCCUAGUGUAGCGGUGAAAUGCAUAGAUAUCGCGCAGAACUCCGAUUGCGAAGGCAGCAUGCCGGCUCCACACUGACGCUGAGGCACGAAAGCGUGGGUAUCGAACAGG
This 253-nucleotide ribosomal RNA is filed under the name uncultured bacterium. RNAcentral's name for it is "partial 16S ribosomal RNA". It matches the Rfam family "Bacterial small subunit ribosomal RNA", at positions 524 to 776 of the family's 1533-position model. The record is from RNAcentral.